RNAcentral lists this unclassified non-coding RNA (331 nucleotides) under Hevea brasiliensis (rubber tree). The record is from RNAcentral. Lineage: Eukaryota; Viridiplantae; Streptophyta; Magnoliopsida; Malpighiales; Euphorbiaceae.
AAAAGAUGAAUUUGACUUGGUGGUGAAUGCAGGCUUUGAAAAUGAAUUUUAUCUUUUGAAGAGUAUAUUGAGGAAUGGCAAAGAAGAAUGGACACCAUUUGACAGGACUUCUUACUGUUCUACAUCAUCAUUUGAUGCCGCAUCCCCGAUACUUGAAGAGGUUUUCGCUUCUCUUCAAUCAUUGAAUAUUGCAGUCGAACAACUACAUGCAGAAGCUGGGAAAGGUCAGUUUGAAAUUGCUCUAAAAUACACAGAUUGUUUUAGAGCAGCUGACAGCUUAAUUUUCGCACGUGAAGUCAUCAAAGCAGUUGCAAGGAAACAUGGGUUGCUG